Molecule: ribosomal RNA, 497 nt
Filed under: uncultured bacterium
Lineage: Bacteria
Description: partial 16S ribosomal RNA
Rfam family: Bacterial small subunit ribosomal RNA
Source: RNAcentral
GAUGAACGCUGGCGGCGUGCCUAAUACAUGCAAGUCGAGCGAACAGACGAGGAGCUUGCUCCUCUGACGUUAGCGGCGGACGGGUGAGUAACACGUGGAUAACCUACCUAUAAGACUGGGAUAACUUCGGGAAACCGGAGCUAAUACCGGAUAAUAUAUUGAACCGCAUGGUUCAAUAGUGAAAGACGGUUUUGCUGUCACUUAUAGAUGGAUCCGCGCCGCAUUAGCUAGUUGGUAAGGUAACGGCUUACCAAGGCAACGAUGCGUAGCCGACCUGAGAGGGUGAACGGCCACACUUGAACUGAGAAACGGUCCAGACUCCCACGGGAGGCAGCAGUAGGGAAUCUUCCGCAAUGGGCGAAAGCUUGACGGAGCAACGCCGCGUGAGUGAUGAAGGUCUUCGGAUCGUAAAACUCUGUUAUUAGGGAAGAACAAAUGUGUAAGUAACUAUGCACGUCUUGACGGUACCUAAUCAGAAAGCCACGGCUAACUACGUG